RNAcentral lists this ribosomal RNA (253 nucleotides) under uncultured bacterium. RNAcentral's name for it is "partial 16S ribosomal RNA". It matches the Rfam family "Bacterial small subunit ribosomal RNA", at positions 524 to 776 of the family's 1533-position model. The record is from RNAcentral.
UACAGAGGGUGCGAGCGUUGUUCGGAAUUACUGGGCGUAAAGCGCACGUAGGCGGCUUUCUAAGUCGGGGGUGAAAUCCUGGAGCUCAACUCCAGAACUGCCUUCGAUACUGGAAAGCUCGAGUCCGGGAGAGGUGAGUGGAACUGCGAGUGUAGAGGUGAAAUUCGUAGAUAUUCGCAAGAACACCAGUGGCGAAGGCGGCUCACUGGCCCGGUACUGACGCUGAGGUGCGAAAGCGUGGGGAGCAAACAGG